GAGGAAGUGAGAGCGGGACCCAUGUGUGGUUGUGGUCUGAGAGCGGAAGGGUAGACUUUUACAAUCCGGUGCAGCUGGCUGAGAUUGAGAUGCAAAUGUCUCCUGCCAUCUUCAUGGAAGUGCCGCACCGCCACAAUCUCAGGCGGAAAGCCAAAACUGCCAUCCCGCAGGAGUCCUGGGCCUCCCCAGUGGAAGAGCUAACACUUAGAGGGUUUACUAUGUGUUUGCUGGAAAUCCGGGAGCAGAUGAACGAAGUGGUUCUGGAUCAGCGUCUCAUGAGAUGGCAGUCACCUGGAAGUCUGACAGAAAUGGAGAAAAAUCGCCCAAUUAAUUUUCGGCAUCUGGCAUUCAAGCUAAAACUCUUGAGGGAGCCAAUACCUGGCUACCUUCGGUUAGAGACUGGAAGGGAACAAGACCAUAAAAAGAGAGGAGAAAUGCUUCCUCCGUGAGGGAGGAACUGGAUCUUAACCACCUUCCACUCGUGGUCCCUCAAGUUGCUGACAGACCUGACAGGAGUAAAAGUUAAGCAGCUGUCCCCGCUUCCACUCCAAGAGCACCCAGCUGGGCCACCUGACCACUCCUGGCUUACUCAUAACUACCACAGCUCGGAUCUCAUCCAGUGAAAGCUGCAGACUGGCAGUCCACCCCAAAAUAACUCCAACAAGAGGCCAAGACCAACUUUCCAUUAAGCCAGAGAAGCAUAAAUCCUGGGCACAAACCAACGCCCAGAAAUGAUCUAGUCCAGUGAACACGUCAUUCAAUCCUCGGUGGAAGCCCAGUGUAUUAAACAAAUGAAAGUUGAGCUGCUUUGCCUAAAACCUGCUUGGAGCUCAGUCUAGUCGCCACACAAAUAAGACAGAGCCACCAAUCCCACCUACUCAUCUGUUUCCACCAGCAUCACACUGUCUCCUGUUUCCUAGUAAGAUCUGUAAAAAAAAAAAAAAACCACCUCACGAUUUCAUUUGUUCCCCUACUGCCGGAGGAGACUAUGUAUGGCACUCACUAACCAUAUACAGAAUGCUUCUCUGGAAACAAGACUAACAAGCGGAUAAAACUGGUCUACUUCUGACACACAUUUAUAAAAGCUGAUUGCCAAGAUUAAACAAAUUCCCUAGAAUAUCUUUUCCUGAGUCAUAACCAUCUUCACAGCCUUUGAAUUCUUUAUAUAGUAAACUGUUUCUUGGUGCCACUGAAGCCCUUUUCUCAUUUGAUACUAAUCUCAAAGAUCUGGUUUUUUGUUUAAGUUUUGUUACUUUUAAGUAAUCACUACACCCAAUGUGAGGCGCAAAUUUACAACCCUGAGGUCAAGAGUCCCACACUAGGGAUCCUCCACCCCCACCCUCCCCUUUUUUAAGGGGGUUGUUUUACUUGUUCCUUUUUCUCCUUUGGCUAAAGACUUCUGGUGGCCUUACAGUUAACCUGGACCUACACACUUCGUUAAGUUUUCAAAUUUGAAGUAUACAUAGAUGCUGAGUUCAGGAGCCAUUCUCUCAUCUUCAGGUGGUAGGCUGACUAACCUUCUCAUUCAUAGCCAGGAUCAUCAUAAGUUUUCUGAAGAGAGUAAUGAAAUCUAAGAAGAGGUCAACGCAGUGCCUGAAACAGAAGAACCAGAUUAUAAGUUGGCAUUUCCCACCUUCCUUUAUCCACAGUCCACAGAGGUGCAGGACAUAAAAACCCCGUGUCUACCCCACAAGUGAGCUUCACCGAACCACCAACUAAGUAAAACUCUGGUGUCUGAGAUCCUUUACAACUCAACAAAGCCAUGCAGCACAGGGAAAAGAAAAACUCAGCUUUAGACUCUGCAGGGGCCUAUAUCUGAACCCUGAACUACCAUUAACUAGUUAAGAAACUCUGAGAGGAUUACUACGUUAUAAAAAAUGUAUACAUUAAAAAGAAUGUGUUUCUUCUUCUCAUGGUUAAAGGUUUAAAAAAAUACAAAAAUAGGGGUGCCUGGGUGGCUCAGUCGGUUAAGCGUCCGACUUUGGCUCAGGUC
This is a long non-coding RNA of Prionailurus viverrinus (fishing cat), 1993 nucleotides long. RefSeq lists it as uncharacterized. Lineage: Eukaryota; Metazoa; Chordata; Mammalia; Carnivora; Felidae. The record is from RefSeq and is a predicted model, not a curated record. The transcript is spliced from 4 exons.